GCGGGUAACACCGGCGGCCCGAGUGGUGAUCGUGAUUAUUGGGUCUAAAGGGUCCGUAGCCGGUUUGGUCAGUCCUCCGGGAAAUCUGAUAGCUCAACUAUUAGGCUUUCGGGGGAUACUGCCAGACUUGGAACCGGGAGAGGUAAGAGGUACUACAGGGGUAGGAGUGAAAUCUUGUAAUCCCUGUGGGACCACCUGUGGCGAAGGCGUCUUACCAGAACGGGUUCGACGGUGAGGGACGAAAGCUGGGGGCACGAACCGGAUUAGAUACCCGGGUAGUCCCAGCCGUAAACGAUGCUCGCUAGGUGUCAGGCAUGGCGCGACCGUGUCUGGUGCCGCAGGGAAGCCGUGAAGCGAGCCACCUGGGAAGUACGGCCGCAAGGCUGAAACUUAAAGGAAUUGGCGGGGGAGCACAACAACGGGUGGAAGCCUGCGGUUUAAUUGGACUCAACGCCGGACAACUCACCGGGGGCGACAGCAAUAUGUAGGCCAAGCUGAAGACUUUGCCUGAAUCGCUGAGAGGAGGUGCAUGG
This 533-nucleotide ribosomal RNA is filed under the name uncultured archaeon. RNAcentral describes it as "bacterial SSU rRNA". It matches the Rfam family "Archaeal small subunit ribosomal RNA", at positions 467 to 997 of the family's 1478-position model. The record is from RNAcentral.